GGAUUAUAAAGACUUCAGUUCUUUUCUGUGACAUCACUAAGAGGUACACUAGUCAGAAGGACUUUAGUUCACUUCAAAAGUUUGAUGAUGAGCCGUGGUACAAGAAAAGGAGCCAAAAGGUAGAGUUCCACAUAUCUUCUUCCUUCUAAAGUGAUGACAGGAGCAAAUAUGGAAUGGUCCACAUACUUCUUAUUUUCCAAGCAGCGGUGUAAUGUUGUACAACCUCCUCACUUUGCUUGGAAACGUGUUUGUAUAUUCAAAAACUUCUCUCAUUCGAGAGCUUCUAAACAAAAGAUAAGAGAUGAGACAAGUGAACAGGAUAAAAUUCAUCUCUUUAUUAGUCUUUGUCACUGACACAUGGUUUCAUAAACAAGUGGAGCUAGCUUCUAUGAAGCAUACAAAAUGGCAUAAUGGGAGAGACGCUUACUGGUGUUUGGCAGCCAUAAAGGAUCUUACAAUACUAUGCUUAAAGGUUGCACGAUUGACGAGGCAAACAAGGAUAAAACUCACAAAUUCAGUAUGCUGCCAAUAUUUUCUUUUAUUUAUCAUGAUGUUGAAAAAGCCAUAAAAACGGCAUGAUCAGUGCGCUGAGUUUUCUUUUCAUAACAUGCUAUGUAAAUUUAAAUAUGUCAAUAUCAAUGCAAUGAUUUAUGAAGAAACAUGUUGUGCUAUAUUUAUUUUUUUCUAUGAUGCUUAAAAUCAUGUACGAUUAAAUAUUACUCUUCAAAUGUUCAUAUAGUUUUAUUAUAUGAAUUAAACAAUCAAAGGAAUCUCUACAUGAACUUCAGUCAAGGGUAGUUCCUUAGAAGGUAAUUAACGGUAGCAUUCUUUUGGGCUAUUGGGAAAGGUUCCCCACAUAAUGGUAGCCUUCUUUUUUAGUAGCCUAGUAGAAAGCUACCGUUAAUUAACUUCUAAUGAAGUACCAUUGAUUAAAAGACCAUGCAGAGAUUUCUUUAUUAUUUAAUUAAUGCAACAAAACAUAUGAAUAUUUUUGACGAGCAGUAUUUUAUACUUGCAUGAUUUUGGACAACAAGAAACAUAAAUAAAUAAAUAGAUUAAAACAUGUUCUUUAUAAACCACUGCAUUGAAUUUUUGUUAAUGCAUUUAAGUUUACAUGCCAUGUUACAAAAAUUUAAAAUAAAGAUGAUGCCGCUUUCGAGCUUUUACAUUAUGAGGAAUAAAAGAGCAUAAAAAAUGCAUGAUGCCAUACCGAAUUUGCAAUAUCAUGAGUCCCUGCCUCGUCAGUUGCAAUACCUCACAUAGCUGCAUAAAAGUCCUCAACCACCCACAUUUGUUUCCUCCAUUCACAAUUUUGUCAGCCCGCUGGAUUUUGGCUCCACUUGUAUAUAUAGGGAAGCCUCACC
Molecule: long non-coding RNA, 1364 nt
Filed under: Phoenix dactylifera (date palm)
Lineage: Eukaryota; Viridiplantae; Streptophyta; Magnoliopsida; Arecales; Arecaceae
Description: long non-coding RNA (PDAC_LNC014909)
Source: RNAcentral